AUGAUAGGUAUUUUUUGGAAUAUUAGAGGGCUGAAUGGCCCCAUUAAAGUGGACAAAUUGAAAGAGCUCAUUAGAGCCAAUAGUCCUGAUUUUAUUUGUAUUUCUGAGACCAAGAAAGAAGAGUUUACUCUUCUUCAACUUGAAGCUUUUGAUCCCAGAUCUGAAUUCCAAUGGAAAUGGCUCCCUGCAAUUAACACUGCAGGAGGGAUUUUAAUUGGAUGUAGGCUAGAUAUAUUUGACUUAGUCCAAUGGGAUUUACAUAAAUUCAGUAUUUCUUGCAUUCUUAAAAAAACAAGAUUCCAUUGUUGGAGGCUUGUUACUAUUUAUGGUUCUGCCUAUGAUCAGUUUAAAAUGGAUUUCAUUAAUGAACUACACUCCUUGCUGACUGGCUGGACAGGGCCCACCCUGGUGGGGGUGACUUCAAUCUAA
This 429-nucleotide ribosomal RNA is filed under the name Triticum aestivum (bread wheat). RNAcentral describes it as "partial small subunit ribosomal RNA". The record is from RNAcentral. Lineage: Eukaryota; Viridiplantae; Streptophyta; Magnoliopsida; Poales; Poaceae.